UGCAGUCGAGCGGCAGCACAGAGGAACUUGUUCCUUGGGUGGCAAGCGGCGGAGGGUGAGUAAUGCCUGGGAAAUUGCCCUGAUGUGGGGGAUAACCAUUGGAAACGAUGGCUAAUACCGCAUGAUGCCUACGGGCCAAAGAGGGGGACCUUCGGGCCUCUCGCGUCAGGAUAUGCCCAGGUGGGAUUAGCUAGUUGGUGAGGUAAUGGCUCACCAAGGCGACGAUCCCUAGCUGGUCUGAGAGGAUGAUCAGCCACACUGGAACUGAGACACGGUCCAGACUCCUACGGGAGGCAGCAGUGGGGAAUAUUGCACAAUGGGCGCAAGCCUGAUGCAGCCAUGCCGCGUGUAUGAAGAAGGCCUUCGGGUUGUAAAGUACUUUCAGUCGUGAGGAAGGUUGUAGUGUGAAUAGCACUAUGAUUUGACGUUAGCGACAGAAGAAGCACCGGCUAACUCCGUGCCGCAGCCGCGGUAAUACGGAGGGUGCGAGCGUUAAUCGGAAUUACUGGGCGUAAAGCGCAUGCAGGUGGUUUGUUAAGUCAGAUGUGAAAGCCCUGGGCUC
RNAcentral lists this ribosomal RNA (562 nucleotides) under uncultured Vibrio sp. RNAcentral describes it as "bacterial SSU rRNA". It matches the Rfam family "Bacterial small subunit ribosomal RNA", at positions 56 to 610 of the family's 1533-position model. Lineage: Bacteria; Pseudomonadati; Pseudomonadota; Gammaproteobacteria; Vibrionales; Vibrionaceae. The record is from RNAcentral.